This is a small nucleolar RNA of Grammomys surdaster, 142 nucleotides long. RefSeq annotates it as small nucleolar RNA SNORA48. The record is from RefSeq and is a predicted model, not a curated record. The transcript has a single exon. NCBI's taxonomy places the organism in Eukaryota, Metazoa, Chordata, Mammalia, Rodentia, Muridae.
UCCCCCUGGCAAUGGGCAGAGAGCCCUUGAUGCUGGCGUUGUUCUUAUGUCAGUCAGGGGCAGAGCAGAUGGCAGUCCUCUGUUCAUCCUAGCUUGAUGCCUGGCUUGGUGGCCAAAGAUGUUUUGUGCCUAGGACUCAUAA